Long non-coding RNA from Prosopis cineraria, 410 nucleotides. RefSeq lists it as uncharacterized. The transcript is spliced from 2 exons. NCBI's taxonomy places the organism in Eukaryota, Viridiplantae, Streptophyta, Magnoliopsida, Fabales, Fabaceae. The record is from RefSeq and is a predicted model, not a curated record.
AGAGAGAGAGAGAGAGAUUUUCGUAAUCCUUGGGCCUUUCUCCUUUUGCUGUCGAGCUUCCUUUCUCUUCACCGUCAACUUGCUCUUUUGCUUGCCGUCGGACUGCUCCCCGCCUCUUCGCUGUUUGAACUUUCCAAUCCUUCGGUGUGGCCAUGAGCUGAGGGGUGGUUGUUACUUCUCCACUUCUGUUCAAGGUAAGACGAUGAUCCUUUCUUCUCCUUUGAAUUCAUAAGCAACGUGAAUCAUCAUUUCUUUCCUUCCCCGGGCCGAAGAAGGCGUCUCUGCUCCUCUUAGUGGCUGUCAUAAUUUUGAGGAAAUUGAUUUGUAUUUUGUGUUGAUGCUGUGCACUAUUAUAAUUUGGAGAUGAAUUGAAUGGUGAUAAUAGAGUUAUUGUUGGAAGUUGAUUAAUU